Molecule: ribosomal RNA, 378 nt
Filed under: uncultured bacterium
Lineage: Bacteria
Description: bacterial SSU rRNA
Rfam family: Bacterial small subunit ribosomal RNA
Source: RNAcentral
UAUUGGACAAUGGGCGCAAGCCUGAUCCAGCCAUGCCGCGUGAGUGAUGAAGGCCUUAGGGUUGUAAAGCUCUUUUAGCGGAGACGAUAAUGACGGUAUCCGCAGAAAAAGCCCCGGCCAACUUCGUGCCAGCAGCCGCGGUAAUACGAAGGGGGCUAGCGUUGCUCGGAAUCACUGGGCGUAAAGCGCACGUAGGUGGGUCGUUAAGUCGGGGGUGAAAUCCCGGAGCUCAACUCCGGAACUGCCUUCGAUACUGGCGACCUUCGAGUCCGGGAGAGGUGAGUGGAACUGCGAGUGUAGAGGUGAAAUUCGUAGAUAUUCGCAAGAACACCAGUGGCGAAGGCGGCUCACGGCCCGGUACGACACUGAGGUGCGAAA